UACGUAGGGUCCGAGCGUUGUCCGGAAUUAUUGGGCGUAAAGAGCUCGUAGGCGGUUUGUCGCGUCUGCUGUGAAAUCCCGAGGCUCAACCUCGGGCCUGCAGUGGAUACGGGCAGGCUAGAGUCAGGUAGGGGAGAACGGAAUUCCUGGUGUAGCGGUGAAAUGCGCAGAUAUCAGGAGGAACACCGGUGGCGAAGGCGGUUCUCUGGGCCUGUACUGACGCUGAGGAACGAAAGCGUGGGGAGCGAACAGG
Molecule: ribosomal RNA, 253 nt
Filed under: uncultured bacterium
Lineage: Bacteria
Description: partial 16S ribosomal RNA
Rfam family: Bacterial small subunit ribosomal RNA
Source: RNAcentral